CUUUAAGGGUUACAAUAUAAUGAACUUUCGAUGUAGUGACACUAUGGAGAAGCAGAUGCUUAGAGUAUAAGGGGUGAAUAGAAUUGAAGAGGAGGGCAAUGGAAGAGUGGGGUGAGGAAGAGAUGUAAGCUCAAAGAGGAAGGUGAUGGCAUGAUUGUUAGGAGAUAAGGUGUAGGUAGAUUGGGAGAGGAGGGCAUUAGGAUGGCAAAUAAGGAUUUUAGAAUUAGGAUUUUUCUUUUUGGUCA
RNAcentral lists this long non-coding RNA (245 nucleotides) under Elaeis guineensis (African oil palm). Its description in RNAcentral is "long non-coding RNA (EGUI_LNC003674)". Lineage: Eukaryota; Viridiplantae; Streptophyta; Magnoliopsida; Arecales; Arecaceae. The record is from RNAcentral.